AGUGGUUUGCGGGGAAUUUGGCAUCUGGUGGCGCAGCUGGUGCUUCAUCCCUUCUAUUUGUUUAUUCCUUGGAUUAUGCUCGAACACGGUUGGCCAAUGAUGCAAAGGCAGCUAAAAAGGGCGGUGAGAGGCAGUUUAAUGGUUUGGUUGAUGUUUACAGGAAAACCAUUAAAUCAGAUGGUAUUGCUGGUCUAUAUCGUGGAUUUAACAUAUCUUGUGUUGGAAU
Molecule: unclassified non-coding RNA, 226 nt
Filed under: Hevea brasiliensis (rubber tree)
Lineage: Eukaryota; Viridiplantae; Streptophyta; Magnoliopsida; Malpighiales; Euphorbiaceae
Source: RNAcentral